Molecule: ribosomal RNA, 1529 nt
Filed under: uncultured prokaryote
Description: partial 16S ribosomal RNA
Rfam family: Bacterial small subunit ribosomal RNA
Source: RNAcentral
AGAGUUUGAUCCUGGCUCAGAUUGAACGCUGGCGGCAUGCUUAAUACAUGCAAGUCGAACGGUAACAGGUUCUUCGGAAUGCUGACGAGCGGCGGACGGGUGAGUAACGCGUAGGAAUUUGCCCAGUAGUGGGGGACAACAUGUGGAAACGCAUGCUAAUACCGCAUACGCCCUAUGGGGGAAAGCAGGGGAUCUUCGGACCUUGCGCUAUUGGAGAAGCCUGCGUCGGAUUAGCUAGUUGGUAGGGUAAAGGCCUACCAAGGCGACGAUCCGUAGCUGGUCUGAGAGGAUGAUCAGCCACACUGGAACUGAGACACGGUCCAGACUCCUACGGGAGGCAGCAGUGGGGAAUAUUGCGCAAUGGGGGAAACCCUGACGCAGCAAUGCCGCGUGAGUGAGGAAGGCCUUCGGGUUGUAAAGCACUUUCAAUUGGGAAGAAAAGGUCAGGGCUAAUACCCCUGGUUCUUGACGUUACCUUUAGAAGAAGCACCGGCUAACUCCGUGCCAGCAGCCGCGGUAAUACGGAGGGUGCAAGCGUUAAUCGGAAUUACUGGGCGUAAAGCGCGCGUAGGCGGUUUGUUAAGUCAGAUGUGAAAGCCCCGGGCUCAACCUGGGAACUGCAUUUGAUACUGGCGAGCUAGAGUGGGGUAGAGGGAAGCGGAAUUUCAGGUGUAGCGGUGAAAUGCGUAGAUAUCCUGAGGAACACCAGUGGCGAAGGCGACUUCCUGGACCAACACUGACGCUGAGGUACGAAAGCGUGGGUAGCAAACAGGAUUAGAUACCCUGGUAGUCCACGCCGUAAACGAUGUCAACUAGUUGUUGGGCGUAUUAAAAGGUUUAGUAACGUAGCUAACGCGAUAACUUGACCGCCUGGGGAGUACGGCCGCAAGGUUAAAACUCAAAGGAAUUCACGGGGGCCCGCACAAGCGGUGGAGCAUGUGGUUUAAUUCGAUGCAACGCGAAGAACCUUACCAGCCCUUGACAUCCUCGGAACUUGGCAGAGAUGCCUUUGUGCCUUCGGGAAUCGAGUGACAGGUGCUGCAUGGCUGUCGUCAGCUCGCGUCGUGAGAUGUUGGGUUAAGUCCCGCAACGAGCGCAACCCUUGUCCCUAGUUGCCAGCACUUCGGGUGGGAACUCUAGGGAGACUGCCGGUGAUAAACCGGAGGAAGGUGGGGAUGACGUCAAGUCAUCAUGGCCCUUAUGGGCUGGGCUUCACACGUGCUACAAUGGCCGGCACAGAGAGUUGCGACCCUGCGAAGGUGAGCCAAUCUCAGAAAACCGGUCGUAGUCCGGAUUGCAGUCUGCAACUCGACUGCAUGAAGUCGGAAUCGCUAGUAAUCGCGAAUCAGAAUGUCGCGGUGAAUACGUUCCCGGGCCUUGUACACACCGCCCGUCACACCAUGGGAGUGGGCUGCAAAAGAAGUGGGUAGUCUAACCUUCGGGAGGACGCUCACCACUUUGUGGUUCAUGACUGGGGUGAAGUCGUAACAAGGUAGCCGUAGGGGAACCUGCGGCUGGAUCACCUCCUU